GUGACCUAACCAUAUGGGAGGAGCCGUCGAAGGUGAAACCGAUGACUGGGGUGAAGUCGUAACAAGGUAGCCGUAUCGGAAGGUGCGGCUGGAUCACCUCCUUUCUAAGGAA
RNAcentral lists this ribosomal RNA (112 nucleotides) under Candidatus Epulonipiscium sp. RNAcentral describes it as "partial 16S ribosomal RNA". It matches the Rfam family "Bacterial small subunit ribosomal RNA", at positions 1430 to 1533 of the family's 1533-position model. Lineage: Bacteria; Bacillati; Bacillota; Clostridia; Lachnospirales; Lachnospiraceae. The record is from RNAcentral.